AGUGAACGCUGGCGGUAGGCCUAACACAUGCAAGUCGAACGGCAGCACAGUAAGAGCUUGCUCUUACGGGUGGCGAGUGGCGGACGGGUGAGGAAUACAUCGGAAUCUACUUUUUCGUGGGGGAUAACGUAGGGAAACUUACGCUAAUACCGCAUACGACCUACGGGUGAAAGCAGGGGAUCUUCGGACCUUGCGCGAUUGAAUGAGCCGAUGUCGGAUUAGCUAGUUGGCGGGGUAAAGGCUCACCAAGGCGACGAUCCGUAGCUGGUCUGAGAGGAUGGUCAGCCACACUGGAACUGGGACACGGUCCAGACUCCUACGGGAGGCAGCAGUGGGGAAUAUUGGACAAUGGGCGCAAGCCUGAUCCAGCCAUACCGCGUGGGUGAAGAAGGCCUUCGGGUUGUAAAGCCCUUUUGUUGGGAAAGAAAAGCAGCAGGUUAAUACCCCGCUGUUCUGACGGUACCCAAAGAAUAAGCACCGGCUAACUUCGUG
Molecule: ribosomal RNA, 492 nt
Filed under: uncultured bacterium
Lineage: Bacteria
Description: partial 16S ribosomal RNA
Rfam family: Bacterial small subunit ribosomal RNA
Source: RNAcentral